Long non-coding RNA from Rhododendron vialii, 2592 nucleotides. RefSeq lists it as uncharacterized. The record is from RefSeq and is a predicted model, not a curated record. The transcript has 4 exons. Lineage: Eukaryota; Viridiplantae; Streptophyta; Magnoliopsida; Ericales; Ericaceae.
UGCUAUUGACAUUUGUUACUUUAGAUCAGCUGAAAUUUCCUUACUAACCGAAUGGAUUGUUCGUUAAAUUUUGAUUUCCUACAUAGGUGUAGAUUUUGAUUAGUGGAUGUGAAAAGUGCAGGAAAAUUUAUGAGAAGUAAAGGAGUAUUUGUUGCGGUCAAAUUGAACUCUACAAACAUCGAACACUUGAUUUGGGGAUGCUAGGAUUGAUAGUCACGGACUCUUGCUCAUAAAAACUAAACCAAUAGGGGAAAAAAUAAAAAAUAAACUCCCGUUUUUUAAAACUUAACUUGUGUUGAAGCAUAUAUACCGUCUAACGUCAACAACUCAUGGGCUUUAGCUUUUCAAAGCCUAACUACAAGCUGCAUAUGAUAGGAAGUGUUGUAUAUGUUAGACUUAACAUAUUAGCCUAUUAGGUAUGAUCCCGAAGAACAUUUUGGCUUGUGCACUUUUGUUUUUGUUUGUCUAGAAAUUGUAAUGGGAUGCAUAUGUUUCCAACACUAACGUUGCUUUCCUUUUGGUAAUCUCAACCAGUGCCCUAUCUAUAACAUUUUACCUUGAGUCGUCGUUGAGGCAGUGCAUGCUUGUAUUUUCAUGCAAAAAAAUGCUAUUUUGGUUACCCAUAUUACAAUAAGGCAGACCAAACCCAGGUUCAGGCCAAGCCAAGACUUAAGAGUGGGUGCAGACUGCCCAAAGUACAGCGAACAAGGCCUAUGGCAAGGCAGCUGAUUCUAAGGACGAGGCCCAACAACGGAAAGAGCAGAUUGCCAGAAUCAUCCACCAGUUUUCAAGAAACAACAAAAGAGCCAUACCAUGUGAACUGAAUAAAGAUUAGAAAAUACCUAUUGUAAUUAAUUGGUUGUUCCUUGUGUCAAUGUUGCUUUCUUUGUUUUGGAAGAGAAGUAUUACUUCUGGUUUGGCCAACAAGAAAAAAACUUUACUUAGGAAUUACUGCCUAGCAAAUAAACAUUUAUGUCAUCACAAUUGCGGUCCAUCCAGGGGUGAGCGGAUUAGUUGGGGUAUUGUAUGUUAUAUUGUUUGUCAUGUUCUAUUUCGCUCCACCCCUUUCAUUUACAUGUUGAGUAUUUCAUAUUUGAGAAUAGGUUUGAUGGGGGAAAAAAUUAAGAUAAUUUUUGGUGAUAGGGCUCCAUUGGAUUACUCGGCAUAAUCAUAGUCCUAGAGAGCUCCUUUAGUACUAAUUCAUUUAGGGCUCGGCAUAGAAAUGUUAGUAAGGAUUAUUGCACGAUAGUGCAGAAUUGAACUUGCUUACAAGUUUGAGUAUGUGAGUGUAAUUGCUACAUACGUUAAAAUUAUUACCAUUGUGCAAGGCAUUUGUCCUGGAUUGAAAUCAUUUUUUUUAAACUUAAACACGGUGGUUUAAAGCAGGAGGACAAGAAACGCAUCCAGGGAAAAGAGUUGACCAUUUGCUCUCAUACUUGUAGAAGCAGCAAACAACCAAUAGUCAUUUCAUUUUAUUCGAUUCUCUUUUUCUUGUUCAAUAUUUUUGUUAUUUCCUGGUAUCCCCUCUAUGGAAUGGAUGCUGAUCGUAGUUGUAUGAGUUGAUUUUACAGCAAUUUAGUUCAAUGAAGAAAAUUCUGACCAACCAUCUUGAACUAGCAAUGGAAGACUUUUGUCACAUAGGCUGAAUGCUGUCGGCAUCAUUACUUUCGAAUUAGAAAAUUUUUGGUCUGCCUAAUUUUUGGCUUCCUAAAAUCUUCAACUAAAAAAGGCUAAUAUUGUGAAUGUGAAGGACUACAACCUUGAAAUGUAUCUAGGGGGAGUUUUUCCUUUUUCUUUUCCCUAGCCCAUCUUCCAUUGAUUACAUCAUGUUGCUUCGACUAUUUGUAAGAAAUUGGUAGAUAAUUAGAAGUAUGUUGAUGUGUGUUGAAUGAGUCUGUCUUUUGUUUUAAAUAUGAGGACAUGAGGAGUCAAUUGUUAAUAUUUUGGCUAUCAGUAUUCUAGAACAUAAGAAAAUAUCAUUAUGUAUCGAAUUGCAUAAGGUCAACUACCAUGCUGCACAUAUUGCUUUAUACAUGGGUCAUAAGAAUUAAUUUAGGUAUCUGAGCUCAAUGAUGAUGUUGAUGUCAAUAGUCAAGGGUGUUCAGCCAUCUAAUCUCAAUUAUCAUGUAACACAUGCGAUUGUCACAAGGAAUGAAGACCUAUUCUCUAGGUGCAUGUACAUAACCUUGAGCUAGAAAUUACAAAUAUGGUAAGUUCAGAGGAGACGAUUGGCAUGUAUGUUUAAUGUGCAAGCAAAUUUUACUUCAAGUCUAGACAAAUUAGGAUUAGUUUUGGGGUUUCAAUUUUAUGCUUACGGACUGUAUUUUGACUGUUUAUAUGCGUAAUUUUGAAUUUUUUGACUAGAUUUAGAUUUUCGCUCACAAACUUUGAUUUCUUGGUUAGGGUUUUUUGCUCGUAGAGUUUUAUUUGAUUUUCAGAUUCAGAAUUUUUGGGCCAAGGUUUGAUCAGGCUUUGAUUUUUAGUUAGGGUUUUGAUUUUUGGUUUUAGUUUUUAAUUUUUGGUUAGCAUUUUUACUGUAUAUAUGUGUAUGCAGGUCUGGAUUAGUAGUUGAAUUGCAUAUAUUGUUGGCUA